UGUUAGGACCCGUGGGUUGGAUUCUUGUCGAACAAUAAAAGUUGGGGUUGCCGACGCGCAAACAAAACCCCGAGUCAAAGUGUGUGUGAGCCGCCGCGGUGUGUGCACGCUGCAGUGGGCGCACAACAGCCAGCUGCUGCCGCUGGGGGUGUGUGUGUGUGUGUGUGUUCGGCGUGUGACAGCAGAGGGUCGGGGACGCUGCUCCGACAAGCGUUUUCCCGGAAGAGAGGGUGUGAAACAUGGGACACACAUCUGAGGUCAGCGGCUGAUCCCGACACACGUCUGACACGCCGAAACACCUUGUGUGUGAGCGCGCGCGCGCGCGUGUGUGUGUGGACGUCUCUCUGUCGGUCCGUGUUGAUGACCGGCUGAGGAACCGGACUGAGACCAGCAGGGCACCGCGCCUCCGAACGGGACAUCCCUCCGGAUCCUCUGCGUCUGGACCGCUGACAGCAGGGAGCUCCAGCACUCCGCCUGGGCCUUGGUGAGAGCCUGAACGUUGUGACCACAGGCUGGCCCGGGUCACGUUGAUGCUGGUGGGCAAUCCCCAGAUCCCUCCCCGCCACCUGCUCCCGCGCUGCUCCCAUCUCCCCACUCCACCAUGGCUAUGAGCGGUGACCCUGGCAGCGAGAGGCUGGACCCAGACGCCGACAAACAGGCUGGCAGUCUCACGGACACCCUGGCCGCCAUGACGACCAAAGACUUGGAGGGCUCCGCUGCCAACGGCGUGAGGAACGGCGGGGCUCAGACGGACAGGGCUCAGGCGAAGAGGACCCAUCCGCCACGGCCUCACCUGAGUGGGAGGAAGUUGUCGCUGCAGGAGAGAGGCACUUACUCGGGCUCUGGGGGAAGGUACACGCAAAUCUCCCCUCGUGUGGCUCGCAGGCCCACCGUGGAGUCCAAGCGGGUAUCCAUAUCAGACUCUCAGGACUGCAUCCAGUUGAACCAGUAUAAGCUGAAGAGUGAGAUCGGAAAGGGCUCCUACGGUGUGGUCAAGCUGGCGUACAAUGAGGAUGACGACAAACACUACGCCAUGAAGGUGGUGUCCAAGAAGAAGUUAAUGAAGCAGUGUGGUUUCCCACGUCGCCCUCCCCCGAGAGGACCGAAGGCAGCCCAAGGAGAGCAGCCCAAAAUCCUCGGGCCCCUGGAGAGGGUCUACCAAGAGAUCGCCAUCCUUAAGAAGCUGGACCAUCUUAAUAUCGUCAAGCUGGUGGAGGUUCUGGAUGAUCCAGCGGAGGACAACCUUCACAUGGUGUUUGAGCUGAUGCGUAAGGGUCCGGUGAUGGAAGUGCCCUCAGACAGUCCUUUGUCGGAAGAGCAGGCGAGGUUAUACUUCAGAGACGUCAUCCUGGGCAUAGAGUACCUGCACUACCAGAAAAUUGUCCACCGGGACAUCAAGCCCUCGAACUUGUUACUCGGCGACGAUGGCCACGUGAAGAUAGCCGACUUUGGGGUGAGCAACCAGUUUGAGGGCAACGAUGCUUUGCUGUCCAGCACUGCUGGCACGCCUGCGUUUAUGGCGCCAGAGACCCUCUCUGACACGCGAAAGAGCUUCAGUGGAAAAGCGCUGGACGUGUGGGCCAUGGGAGUGACUCUCUACUGUUUCGUCUUUGGGAAGUGCCCAUUUAUUGACGAGUACAUAUUGGCUUUGCACAAUAAGAUAAGGACCAGGCCUGUGGAGUUCCCAGAAACGCCGAAGAUCAGCGAAGAGCUGCGGACGCUGAUCUUGCGGAUGCUGGACAAGAACCCUGACAACAGGAUCACCAUCCCAGAGAUAAAGAUGGACCAGUGGGUGACCCAGGGAGGCAGCGACCCCUUGCCUCUGGAGGAGGAGCACUGCUCGGUGGUGGAGGUGACCGAGGAGGACAUCCAGAACUCGGUCAAGUUCGUCCCCAGCCUCUCCGCAGUGAUCUUGGUCAGAGCCAUGCUGAGGAAGCGCUCCUUCAGCAACCCCUUCGAGUGUCCGAGCAGGAGAGAGGAGCGCUCCAUGUCUGCGCCCGGCAGCCUGCUCAUGGACUCGUGGCCCUUCCGGCCCUCUUUUAAACUCCACCCCUCACUCAGACCGCUCAACUCUCGCUUACCCCUCCAUCAAGAAAAGUGACGGAGCAGCCAUCCCUUCAGCUGUCCUGCCACCCUUUCCCACCCCAACCCCGCUGCUGUCAUAAAGAGCAGCACAGGAGAGGGACCCAGAGAGGGAGAGCUGGAGGACCUGCACGAAGACGAGCCCUCUUGAGUUGCGUCGCGUCGGCAGAGCUUUGUCUUCGUCCUCUUUGCUCCAACCAUUUCCGCGCUCACCCCCCCUCUCCCCCUCCACACAUUUCCCUUCUAAUCUGUGAAACACUACAGGCGUACCAUUCCACACGCCAGAGAGACUCUGCGUUUUAAAUCGGGUAAAUCGCUUGUGUUAGCAUUCAGACUUGCGUACGCUCAAGCUUCCUUUUUUCUCGCCCCAGUUUCCCAACCGUCGUCCUUCCCCAAUAUGGAGUCUCCGGGGCACCAAGUUUUGGUCGACACUGUUCCUCAUCGUAACCGCUCAACCACUUAACUGUUUUGUCUGGCGUCGGUGGACCGAUAAGAAGGGGAACUCUGCUGAAUUUCUGGAUCAUUAUCAGCUGAAAUCACUGUUGUGGGAGAAAUGUGAGAACAUGUUUGGCAGUUUUUUUUUUUUUUUUCCCACAUUGGAGUGUAAUGCCAGCUGACAAACUCAGAUUUUUUUUUUUAUUAUUUAUUUAUUUUUUAUUAGAAUCGGUCUGCAUGAUGAAUAUUCGAGCGUCAUCGUCAGACUGACAACGACCACCUGUCACAGUCAUCGCCAGCCUGGUCAAGAGGAAAAAAAAGAAAAACCCCUCUUCUAUAAUCAGCAUGUAAAUGACACCACAUUGUCUCCUCAGUGAACUACAGGGCUUUUUAUUUAUGGUGGAUGGAACGGUCGUUUUGAUAUUGUACAUAGAUGUCUCGAGGUGUCCUCAGUGUUAUCGUCUCCCAGCCCUGUUCCCUGUACAUGUGCCAUCGGUAGCUUUUUUUUUUUUCACACGUGAGUCGGUUGAUAAAGGUCUAAGUCCUUCCCGUGCUGCCUUCACUGUCCUCGGGCCUGACCAGCUGGACUUCUCCGACAGGAAGUAAAGGAAGUCAGCUGUCUGAGGAUGAUCACACACAAAAGGAAAGCAUCACGUUUCAAGUUUUGACAUUGUGUGAUGUGUCGUCACACUUCUUCUUCUACUGCGUUCCGUGUGUUGUUCGUCCGUCGAGUUCCGUCCCUUAACACUGUCUCUUUUCUAUAUAAUGUGACAAAACUGGCACAUUGUGCAGCGUAUGUUAUGUCACAUUGAGUGUGAAUAUACUGAAAGGAUGUAAAUUACUCCUAUUGCCUGUCAUGUGAAUUACUCCCCUUCCAAUUUAGAAUUUAUUGUUAACCGAUAUUCUUCGAUGCAGAGCUAAUUUAAAGGCGCGAAUAAUCCAGUCGUCCUCUUCUAGAAGAGAUCUGCUCCUCCAGAGUUAUCCAGGCUAAGGGACUGUAUGCAAAUUACUAUGGGGGAGAGGGAGUCGUAGGGGAGGGGGGGAGGGUAGUCAGCAUCGAAGAUUAUUUAAGUAGACUUACAUUUCUAUAGUGCUUAUAGUCGCCAGCAGCGAUCUCCGGGGCUGAAAAAUGUAGCCAACACAGAAGUGCCAGUAGCAGUUCCUCGAAUUGCCACUCGAGGCUGCCUCCCAAAGUGAGUCAAUUCCCACAAGAGCGCCGUGAAAAGGACCACGUCCGAAUGGCCGAUUUUACUGCAGAAAUGUUCACAGCCUGGUACAAAACAUUAGAUAGCCAGUUUCACGGUUUAUGACAACUGUUUCAAACAAUUGCGUUUGAUUUUUUCUCGAGGGAGCCUCCUCUUCAAGUGAUGGCAAGUCGCAAACCAUCUGCUCGGCGUCCCCUCAGCUAAUUCCACUCACCGAUCUCGACUUCCUGACCGUGCUUGCGGCAUCCAUUUGGAUACUUUUAAUGCAAAUAUUGGACAAGAACUACGGCUUUCUGUGCAGUUAAAUGUACAUUGUAAUUGAAGCACUUUCUUCUGCAUCAUAACAAUUUUUUUUUUUCUAAAUAAGUCAGUAAAAUAAAGUGAAUAAUAGUGGGCCUAUUCUGUUAUUCAGUUUCAGCCUUUUGCUUUGUUAACCAUUUCAUUACUCCAUUAAUGUAUAUUUGAUAAAUAUAGAACGAUAUGUUAAUAAGAUAUAAAUCAGAUUUAAUUUGUUUGAUUAGAAUCAGAUUACAACACCCCAAAUUCUUUGUACUUUGCCUCUUCUAGUUAUUAAAUUUGACUGUGUUGUACCAGCUCAUAAUCAUAUUGAAACAUAGAAGGUGGAUGUUGUUGCAGUUUAUUUUUAUUUUUAUUUAUUAAUUAUCUUUUGUAAGGAUUCAAAUAAAAUAUUAAUAAUGCAAUGGGGUUGUGCAAUUUUGGCAGCUGUAAAAAAGCUUGAAAAGAUUUGACCUCCUCUCCCAGUAACUUUCAUACAGUCCCUAACACCACUGAUUUGUCCUGGCUGACCUUUUGAACAUCCAGGUCUUGACAUGUUUGUAGAGGUAGCUACAGGUGGCUAGUCAGUUAACAUGCCAGUCCUGUUGGAUCACAAUGGAAAAAGAAGAUGCAAUUUAUUUGCGACUUGAGGGCUUUGUUUGCUUUCCAGGUGGUCGGCCAACUUUAAAAAAAGCCUCGCGUGUGGGCCGUUUUGUCUCCGCCGACUCGAAUCAAUGGGAACAUUUCUGCCUCCGCUGCAGCUCUAUCCUCAGAUAAAUGUUUACAUAACUCCAUUUGACUCCUUCCUCCUCCUCCUCCUCCUCGGCCUGGUGCAUUGCUCUGUAAAAGGGAAGUGUGUUUGGCCCAUCGGAGUGCUCCAAACCACUCAAACCGCUGUGAAACAGGAGCAUUUCGGUGUCGUGAUUGGGGCCCGGCUCCCAACAGCAACAACACUUCCAUGUCCACUCGAGUGCCGGCCCCAGUGUGGCUGAUCAGAGACGUGGAGUGCAGCGUUUUGCAUUUCCUCCAUUAAUCUCGGCCCUCGGUAUCCUCCGGUGAGGGCUGCUAAUUCAGGCUCAGAGAGGAGAGGGAUUGGCCGAAGCUGAGUAGGAGCACAUUUCACAUACUGCUACUGAGCCUCUGUGUUCCGGGGGGGAUUAAUGUUCACAGAGGCGGCGGCUUUAUACAUAAAAACCACAAAUGCUAUUGACAGACAAGUGUCAACUCAAUCAUUAUGUGAGUGAUGGAGAAUGUAAAGCUUUAUACCUUUUUUUUAAUUUUAUGGACCAGUAAAAGAUCUAUUUGUAGAUGUUAAAUGUAUACCUUAAUGUCUGAUUGCCUGAGAUGUCAUAUAUGUAUAAUGAGGGCUUAUUGUCGUUGAUUUAAUUAGUUUUGUUACGUUCGCUCUGCUGAUGAUGAUGGAAGUGAAAGAAGCCCGAGGUGUGUUUGCAGAGUAACCUUCAAUGAAGGGCUGUUUGAACCAAAAAAAGUGUAAAAUGUUGUGUAAUAUUUUUACUGGAAUGUUUUCAGCUUACAUUUGUGUGUUUGUAUGUACUUUUUUUUUUCAGUGUCAGAGGUGCAAUAUCGUUAUCGUCAGUGCAUUAUCGGCUCAUUUCCCUGCUGUCCAAACACUGCUUAAACACUGCUUCUAUUUAAGUAUUUGCACUUUGCCACUUACAGACAACAUAUUAAAGUUAUUGCGAUUACAGUCUGUAGAACACUUCUGGUACCUGUCGACCAUUUAACAUUGUACAGUUCGCGAUCGAGGUUCACCUGUAAAAGGCCAUAGCUGCUUUGUAUCAGUGUGUUGUCACAGUUUCCUGUGCUUCUCAAAACAUUGCUCUUUGAUAUCAAUCUGCAUGUCACAGCAUUGCAAUUACAGUUUUGACUUCUCUUUUUUUAUUUAAAUUACAAAUGAAACUACAAUGUUUCCAUUUUCCGGUAACUUAUUCUCCCGUCUGUGUCAAAAAUACUGCAACAGCUGCAGAUCCAACUAAGAUUGCUUUUGAAUUGUUGCUUUUUCUCGUGCAUAUACUUAAAACAACAGAAUUGUGAAUGAUGUACAAGUAUAACUUCGGGCAAGGGACUUCUGAGUUUUUACUGCAGAGGUGAUGUAAACCCUGUUACAUGAGCAGGAGCAGCUUGGAAUAGCAGCGCUGUGUUCGAGAUCUUCUCUCACGACGCGGUAAUGAAUGAUGAAAGACCCUGUUAAUAGUUUACUGUGUUUGAUUUCAUCUUUACCUCUGCAGUGGUCGUGUUUUCUGUCCUACUUUCCUUUUCCUGACUUUUAAGGAGGUCAUAUUACGCUUUUUUUGGUUUUUGCCUUUACUUUAUUGUGUUAUGUGGCAUUUUCGUGCUCGUAAAAGGUCCGCUUUGGAGUCAAGCCUUUACUUCUAUAAACUACAUGCAUCACUAUGUAACAUGAAUAUAUAUUUAUAUAUUUAUUAUAGAAUAUACUCCAGUCAGUCAGCAGACAUAGAGUUGCUACUGCUGUGGCGGUGUUAUUUUAGAUCACACUACCUUGCUUGGCACGACCCGCCCUACUCUGCCUCUGAUUGGCUACAUCCUGCCCGUUAAGUAAUGCACAUGUGCAAAGAUCGAGAUGUCUGACUCUUUAGGCGAAACGGAGCAUUCAAGACACCGCGUGAAAAGGGACGCUGCAGCAGUGCACCAUAUGAGAAAAACAAUGUGUUUUUGGAAAAUGAAAGUAUGUAAACCUCUUUUACUAGGACCCCCAAAUAAAAGUAUGACUCCGAAAAUGUGCAUAAUAUGGCCUCUUUAAACACAUCCACAUUUUCUAAACAGAUUUCAUUUAUAUUUGUUAGAAAAUGAGACAACGGAGCGAGGGAGAGACGUUUUUGUUGCAUUACAUUACUGUGUGGCCAUUUGAAAACCUUUUACACGCGAGUUUUAAUGUUGUAAUUCCUGAACUGAUCCUUUUUUCAGUCAAUCCACACAGGAUCCGUUCACCUCUACAGGCAUUUCAGCCACCAAACUGAUGCCAAUCUUUGCUGAAUUUGAGACGUUAACAACCUUAAUUGCAGUCACACCAGUCAUAACUCUGAGGCCAUGUGCAGUUGCAACAUAAUUUGAAGAGGCAAUUUGUAAGAUGGCCAGAACAGUGUUGACAUUGAUGCACUGUGUUACAGAGAUGUCUCCUGAAGUUACCAUGCUAACUAGCUAACCCCGGCCUGUCCUGUCUUCUUAUACCACUGUGUGUCAGCAAGAGGCUGGGAGAUGUAAGAAAAGUCGAGUCUCAACCUGUCAAAUCAUGAUACUGGAGGUUUCCCAACUUCAGUUGGGAAUGAGACUCAAAAGAUUAGACACUUAUCUAACAAAUAGCACCUGCAGUGUCGGGAAUAAGUAAACAAAAUAGACCCAAAAAAUGUCAAGACAGGAGAUGUUUUACACCAAUUUUCCACAAACCGAAUAAAAAUGAAAUGACCUCCUCUCUUUUUGCCAAAGAAAUUGCCUUGUUAAAUCUUUCAAACUUGACAGAAAUGGAAAAAACCCACCAAAAAAGUCUGAGUUUGUCUUUUCACAAUCACCACCGGUUCGGUCAAAAUAAAUCCUCAAUUCACACAGUGCUGAUUUACCGACCCUCCCUCUCUCCCCUCCGCCUGCCUUGUCAUCUCAUCUACUUAUCAUAGUCAGAGCUGCUUUAAGCUAGUCUGACUCAGUAGAUGUAGACUGUUGUUAUGAGUCUGCCGCCGCUGGGCGCCCACUUCAGGUCGGGUUCUCCUCCCCUCAGCUAUCUACGCGUACUGUUUUCGCAAAAGGCAAGUCCAGUCAAGUGACACAGUGUGAAGUGGUAAUGCUGCCCCUCCAGAGUUUUGUAGCCAUGUCCCAAGUUCUGGCCAUUUCUCACAAAUUAGACCUUUAAAUGACAUCUGCACAUACUGCAUUAAUUGCAUUUGAUUGAAUUUUGCUUCACGGUUGUAACUUAGUGAUAACCUGGACGAUUCUACAGUUUGAAGCCUAGAUUUAUCUAGGCUUAUCUUCUCCAAAGAUAAGCGCUCUUUAAUCACCGUUUUGAUGCACAUAUUGGGCGCUAUUUUAAAAACAGCCAAAUGUCUUGUAUUGUGCAGCCUCGGCAAAGGUCUGCUCAGUGUAAAUGGCUUCUUGCUCGGCAACUGGAGUGAAACGGGAGGGAAUUCGAUGGCUGCAGAUGCCUCGGUCGCAGCACGGGAAGUGAGCAACAGCGACCAAUUCCUCAGGAUUUCAGGUCAUUACUGCACACAAAGGGAGGAGGACUGAGGGAGUGAGCUUGUGUGUACUGUGAGGCCAGGGAUGACAGUGUGACGUCUGUCCCGGUGUGUGUGUGUGUGUUUGUGUGUGUGUUUUGAAGGUGCCUGCUGCCUCUGUUUUUCUGUCUCGUGUCGCCCCGUGCAUGUCUCUGAAUGUACUCACUCGCCUGACGCCCAUACGAAAAAACAGAAGCAUGGCACACCCCUAUGGAAUGCAGUUGUUGCGAUGUAAAUAUGUACCAAUAUAUAUAUAAAGAAGCUAUUUUUUGCAUGCUUUUUGUACACCUAGACAUAAAGACAAUAAAAAUUCAACCUGAAA
RNA transcript from Acanthopagrus latus (yellowfin seabream), 8564 nucleotides. It is a transcript of the gene named calcium/calmodulin-dependent protein kinase kinase 1, alpha a, with no coding region annotated. Lineage: Eukaryota; Metazoa; Chordata; Actinopteri; Spariformes; Sparidae. The record is from RefSeq and is a predicted model, not a curated record. The transcript has 18 exons.